RNAcentral lists this ribosomal RNA (253 nucleotides) under uncultured bacterium. Its description in RNAcentral is "partial 16S ribosomal RNA". It matches the Rfam family "Bacterial small subunit ribosomal RNA", at positions 524 to 776 of the family's 1533-position model. The record is from RNAcentral.
UACGUAGGGUGCAAGCGUUGUCCGGAAUUAUUGGGCGUAAAGAGCUUGUAGGCGGUUUGUCGCGUCUGCUGUGAAAUUGCGGGGCUCAACCCCGAACUUGCAGUGGGUACGGGCAGACUAGAGUGUGGUAGGGGAGACUGGAAUUCCUGGUGUAGCGGUGAAAUGCGCAGAUAUCAGGAGGAACACCGGUGGCGAAGGCAGGUCUCUGGGCCAUAACUGACGCUGAGAAGCGAAAGCAUGGGGAGCGAACAGG